This 84-nucleotide transfer RNA is filed under the name Moraxella bovis. Its description in RNAcentral is "tRNA-Ser(tga)". Lineage: Bacteria; Pseudomonadati; Pseudomonadota; Gammaproteobacteria; Moraxellales; Moraxellaceae. The record is from RNAcentral.
GGAGGGUAGCGUACUGGGUACAAAGCGGUCUUGAAAACCGUGCCAGCGGAAACGCUGAGGGUUCGACUCCUUUACUCUCCGCCA